CUUGGUCAUUUAGAGGAAGUAAAAGUCGUAACAAGGUUUCCGUAGGUGAACCUGCGGAAGGAUCAUUAAAGAAUUGCCCCAUUUUUUGAAAUGGGUUCUAUUCCCAAACCGUGUAUACAUACCUUUGUUGCUUUGGCAAGCCGUCCUUCGGGCGCAGCUUCGGCUGAGAGCGCUUGCCAGAGGACCCCAACUCUUUUGUUUAGUGAUGUCUGAGUACUAUAUAAUAGUUAAAACUUUCAACAACGGAUCUCUCGGUUCUGGCAUCGAUGAAGAACGCAGCGAAAUGCGAUAAGUAAUGUGAAUUGCAGAAUUCAGUGAAUCAUCGAAUCUUUGAACGCACAUUGCGCCCCUUGGUAUUCCGAGGGGCAUGCCUGUUCGAGCGUCAUUAUGACCACUCAAGCCUAGCUUGGUAUUGGGGGUUCGCGGUCUCGCGGCUCUUAAAAUCAGUGGCGGUGCCAUCUGGCUCUAAGCGUAGUAAUUCUCUCGCUAUAGGGCUCCGGUAGUUGCUUGCCAAAACCCCCCUAUUUCUCACGGUUGACCUCGGAUCAGGUAGGGAUACCCGCUGAACUUAAGCAUAUCAAUAAGCGGAGGA
This 592-nucleotide ribosomal RNA is filed under the name uncultured Rhizoscyphus. RNAcentral's name for it is "eukaryotic LSU rRNA". The stretch from base 232 to 385 matches the Rfam family "5.8S ribosomal RNA". Lineage: Eukaryota; Fungi; Ascomycota; Leotiomycetes; Helotiales; Helotiaceae. The record is from RNAcentral.